GCGCUCGUGGUGGAACUGGUAGACACGCAGGAUUUAGGUUCCUGUGCCUUCGGGUGUGCGGGUUCGACUCCCGCCGAGCGCA
RNAcentral lists this transfer RNA (82 nucleotides) under Ornithinimicrobium sp. Its description in RNAcentral is "tRNA-Leu". It matches the Rfam family "tRNA". Rfam says of the family: Transfer RNA (tRNA) molecules are approximately 80 nucleotides in length. Their secondary structure includes four short double-helical elements and three loops (D, anti-codon, and T loops). The record is from RNAcentral. Lineage: Bacteria; Bacillati; Actinomycetota; Actinomycetes; Micrococcales; Ornithinimicrobiaceae.